Molecule: long non-coding RNA, 1519 nt
Organism: Aethina tumida (small hive beetle)
Lineage: Eukaryota; Metazoa; Arthropoda; Insecta; Coleoptera; Nitidulidae
Exons: 3
Source: RefSeq, a predicted model, not a curated record
CAUUCUCAUUGGUUGAAAGCAGACAAACUGCAUUAUCCCCACUCUUACUCAAGGUUAUAAGUAAGGCAAUUCUCAGUUACUUCGACAGAGUCCUCCGAAGCUUUGAACGAACAUUGUCAAAAUGUUCUAUAAGUUAAGUUAGCUUAAGUUAGUGCAAUGUGGUGAGUGUGUGAAAAGCUUCAUACUAUUAGUCACCAUCUUAAGUUACCUAAUUGGUCAACAAAUUCAAAGGGACUGUAAUGGGGAUAUUUAAAAUGGAAAUCCUUCUAAACCUUUCAUUUUAUAACUCAGUUAUAACGAAGAGUGGAUUACUAUCAAAUAGUAAGGAAACAACACAAAAUGAAUCUAAGAUCAAAUAGAAUAUCAUUCAGAAGAAAUAACUUCUCGGUUUCGGUUCUUUUGUUAUGAAAGUGAAUAAUUUACCGAAUUAAAAAAGCUGAUUCGAAAACAUCCAAUAAAGACGUGAAUGGGCAACUCGAAAUCGACCACUGAUGAAGAAGAUAUUUCCAGUUUCUAACAGAAAAAUUGAUUUAUUUUUCUAAAGCGUUGAUUACUGUACACCUUAAUUUAAUAUGACAACAGUGGUGGAGAUAUUAACGAAAGGAGAUGUUCUUCACACCACACCACACCACAUCACAUUACACCGCACCACAUCACAUCACAUCAUAUUCACAUAAAAUUCACAUCAUAUUAAACACAUGAACUUCAUAAUUGUCUUAUAAAGGUUAAUACCUGCUGUACCGAAAACAUUGGUGCUGAUAAGUUUGACAAUUUCGUCGUCAUUGUGUUUUCUUUAAAUAGAGAAUAUAUACAUCUACAAUUCUACAUUGUAGUCUCACAGUAUGUAAUAUUGUUGUGGUUUCCAACAGUUGUUCAGAGUUUUGUUACAGUUUUUGGAUCAAAGAUAAAUUUGUUGAUAACUGAAAUUGCCUUCUCUUAUAUUAACGAGUGAUUAUCUAAUGGAGAAAUGUAUUUUCCAAAUUUUUCUGUGUUAGACUCAUUUACAUCAACAAUCAUUUUCUCCCAUCCAGUUGUUUUGGAAUGGAUAAUAGAAAUGAGUUUGUGCUUUAGUAGUUUCAUGACAGUCUUGUUACAAGACCGAUUGUUUUGAAAAAUUUUGGAGUGAUGUGACUUUCCCACGUUUCCCAACGAUGAUUAUUGUUGUGUAUUACAUUAACAGAUAAUGUUUAGCCAAUUACGUAUCAUUGUUUAAGUCUCUGGAUUGUGUAACACUUGAAUCAAGACUUACUGCUAACAUACGCUGAUAAUUUAAUUUUAAAAGAUCAAUUUGUUUCUGGGACACGUGGUGAACUACUUAAUUCACUGUUAUCAUUAUUAGAUCCCAUGGUCUAAAAAACCUUAAUGCAAUUCAUAAUACAAUACAAUACACUGCACUGCCGUCACCCAAAAUAGUGUCCUGUCGUGUUUCCAAAUCGUAAAAUAUGAAUAAUAAAUCACUAAGGCUUUGGCUACAGCGGCCUUAGCCACCGCCUCUGCUGCCGCAUCUGCCUCCGCCUCU